Molecule: small RNA, 449 nt
Filed under: Pan troglodytes (chimpanzee)
Lineage: Eukaryota; Metazoa; Chordata; Mammalia; Primates; Hominidae
Description: processed transcript
Source: RNAcentral
AUGGCAGGCAGCAGAUUCUGAGUUUGGGCAUGGACCUGCAGUUGGAAUGGAUGAAGUUAGAAGAUUUCCAAAAGCACCUUGAUGGGAAAGAUGAGAAUUUUGCUGCAACAGAUGCAAUUCCAAGUAGUGAGUAGUUUUGGAAAUAUUGAAAUCCCUUUCACAAAUCUAGAUUUAUAAAAUCUAACUUAUUUUUUCUUUCAUUUUAGAUGUGUUAAGGGAUGCUGUGAAAAAUGGGGAUUAUAUUACUGUAAAAGUUGCACUUAAUUCAAAUGAAGAAUAUAACCUGGACCAAGAGGAUUUAAUACACAAAACAAAAAGAAGAUACAAAAAUGAGAGCUGGGCGUGGUGGCAUGCACCUGUAAUCCCAUCUACUUGAGGCUGUGGCAGGAGGAGUGCUUGAGCCCAGGAGUUUGAGACCAGCCUGGGCUGACAUAGCAACACCCUGUCAC